ACUCAAAGGAAUUGACGGGGGCCCGCACAAGCAGCGGAGCGUGUGGUUUAAUUCGACGCAACGCGAAGAACCUUACCAGGGCUUGAACUGCUGGUAGUACUGAUCCGAAAGGUGAGGGACCCUUCGGGGAGCCAGUGGAGGCGAUGCACGGCUGUCGUCAGCUCGUGCCGUGAGGUGUUGGGUUAAGUCCCGCAACGAGCGCAACCCCUGUCGCCAGUUGUAUUUUUCUGGCGAGACUGCUGAGACCAACUCAGAGGAAGGCGGGGAUGAAGUCAAGUCAGCGUGUCCCUUACGUCCUGGGCUACACACACGCUACAAUGGCCGGUACAAAGGGCAGCCAACGAGCGAUCGGGAGCUAAUCCCACAAAGCCGGCCCCAGUUCAGAUUGCAGGCUGAAACUCGCCUGCAUGAAGGCGGAGUUGCUAGUAACCGCACGUCAGCACAGUGCGGUGAAUACGUUCCCGGGCCUUGUACACACCGCCCGU
RNAcentral lists this ribosomal RNA (485 nucleotides) under uncultured bacterium. RNAcentral describes it as "partial 16S ribosomal RNA". It matches the Rfam family "Bacterial small subunit ribosomal RNA", at positions 899 to 1397 of the family's 1533-position model. The record is from RNAcentral.